RNAcentral lists this long non-coding RNA (2161 nucleotides) under Sus scrofa (pig). RNAcentral's name for it is "lncRNA (ENSSSCG00025073165.1)". Lineage: Eukaryota; Metazoa; Chordata; Mammalia; Artiodactyla; Suidae. The record is from RNAcentral.
AUGGCCGCACCCAUGGCAUAUGGAAGUUCCUGGACUAGGGACUGAAUCUGAGCCGCAGGUGCGGCAGAGCCAGAUCCUUUAACCCACUGUGCUGGGCCGGGGAUAGAAACCGAGCCUCUACAGUCAGAUUCUUAACCAACUGCACCACAGUAGGAACCCCAACAUUCGACAUUUGAUGGUGCAGAUACCUCCUUCUUCCUUCAGUGUAAAUAUUCUAAUACAAAUAUUUUUAUUAAUUGCCCCCCGCCAAAAAACAACAAAAAACCAAAAAGCACAAUAAAAAAAUUGGACCUUACCAAACCACCUGUAGGGCUUGCUUGCCCCUCUGGUACACUCUUCCACCCUGUGUCUUGCCUUGGUAAUGCCUGAUGGGUCACCCGAUAGGCUUCAACCUAGACAUCACACAUUUCUUCAGGAACCUUCCCUUCCACUAUGCUCCUGUCACCAGGGGUGUAGUACUAGGGGAAUCACACCUGAUAGCAAUUGCUCAUUUAUUUAGUACCCUCCAGCAUAUACAUUAAAUACAUCUGUAAGUACUUGCUGACUAUUCCACUAGGUAAUAGGCACCACCCAACCUGGGAAAGAUGAUUGGUGCCUUCCCCGUAGAGCCUAGUCCAAGCUUUUGUUUUGUUUGUCCUUUUAUAGCCACACCUAUGGCAUAUGGAAGUUCCCAGGUGCAGCCCUAAAAGGACAAAAGACCAAAAAUAAAUAAAUCAACUGCAGCUUGUGUUAAGCUUAAUCCACUGAGCAAGGCCAAGGGUUGAAUCUACAUCUUCACGGACACUUUGUGGGGUUCUUAACCCACUGAGCCACAAGAGGAACUCCUUGUUUUGUUUUUAAAUGGCUUUAUUGAGAUUUAGUCCAUGGACUAUGCAAUUCACCCAUUUAAGAUGUAAAAUUUGGGAGUUCCUGGGUGGCACAGUGGGUUAAGGAUUUUGCGAUGUCAUUGCUAUGGCUUGUAUUACCGCUGUGGCGCAGGUAAGAUCCCUGGCCCAGGAACUUCUGCAUACUGCAUGUAUAUGGCCAAAAAUAAAUAAAUAAAAUGUACAAUUUAGUGGCUUUUAGUAUAUUUACAAAGUUCAUCACCACAAUCAGUUUUAAAGUUUUCAUCAACCCCAAAAGAAACUUCGCACUCCUUAGGUAUCAUCGCUGGGGCCUCUGCAUCCCCUUCCCUUCCCCAUCACCCAGCCCCUGAGGUAACCACCAAUCUAGUGUAACCACAGAUCCUAUAGAUUUGCCUAUUCUGGAUAUUUCUUAUGUGAAUCAGGUUAGGUCUUCCCCAUCUUACCCAGUUCUGAGAUUCUUCUAAGAACUUCCCUGGAGAUUCAAAUUCAGAGAUCAGAGAAUCNCCCGCUUUUUAGGGCCGCACCUGCAGCAUAUGGAAGUUCCCAGGCUAGGGGUUUGAAUCGGCGCCACAGCUGCUGGACCACAGCACAACCACAGCCACGUGAGAUCCGAGCCAUGUCUUCCACCUACACCACAGCUCACAGCAACUCCGAAUCCCCAACCCACUGAGUGAGGCCAGGGAUUGAACCUGCACCCUCAUGGAUCCUAGUCGGGUUCGUUAACCAAUGAGCUACAAAGGGAACUCUGGAAUCUGUAUUUUUAACAUGGGGUCUUCUCUAAAGAGUCAAUUCUCUAUUUAAUCAGACUGCAUCUGCCUUUACUGUCUCCAGCAACCAAGGCCAAAUGUAUAGUAGUUGUCAACAAAUAGCUUUUGAUGACUACCUCUAAAACUUAACACAAUCAAGCAUUUUGAGUAUGGCGAGUCCCCUUGUGGCUUGGCAGGUUGGGGACAAUAUAGGCAGGGAGGAGUGAGAUCAGACUAGUAGAGGAGGCAAAUUGAAUCCACAGAGGCCAAAGGUGGCAAUUAGAAAGGGGCUUGUGGAGUGGCUGAAGAGUUUGGGAUUUAUUACCUCUAGGGUACUGGAGAGUCAUCCAUGGGCUUGAAGCAGGGGAAUUAUGAGAUCACAUCUGGGCUGUGCAGUUGUGUAGGGGGAGGAGGCAGGAAGCAGUGAAGAGUCUAAAGAUGUGGUCAGAAGUGAUAGUGCCUGAGCCAGGUUGGAGGCAGUGGGGAUAGAGAGAUUAGAGUGAAGAGAUAUCCCAAAGGCAGAAUGGACAAUUUAGAGAUUGAUGGGAUGUGGGAGAUGAGAGAAUGAAG